RNAcentral lists this ribosomal RNA (238 nucleotides) under uncultured Leptospira sp. RNAcentral describes it as "partial 16S ribosomal RNA". It matches the Rfam family "Bacterial small subunit ribosomal RNA", at positions 124 to 354 of the family's 1533-position model. The record is from RNAcentral. Lineage: Bacteria; Pseudomonadati; Spirochaetota; Leptospiria; Leptospirales; Leptospiraceae.
ACCUACCUAGAAGUUGGGGAUAACACAGAGAAAUUUGUGCUAAUACCGAAUGUGACGGUUCCUGGUAGCAGGGAUUGGUUAAAGCAGCAAUGCGCUUUUAGAUGGGUCCAUGGCUGAUUAGCUAGUUGGUGGGGUAAAGGCCUACCAAGGCGACGAUCAGUAGCCGGCCUGAGAGGGUGAACGGCCACAAUGGAACUGAGACACGGUCCAUACUCCUACGGGAGGCAGCAGGUUAAGA